GGCAGCGGACUGGGAGAGGCAGACCCACCCUCAAUGUGAGUGGGCACCAUCUAAUCAGCUCCAGCGCUGCUAGGAUAAAGCAGUCAGAGGAACGUGGAAGGAACGUGAGUCUUCUGGCCUCCAUCUCUCCCGUGCUGGAUGCUUCCCGCCCUCAAACAUCGGACUCCAAAUUCUUGAGCUUUUGGACUCUUGGACUUACACCAGUGGUUUGCCAGGGGCUCUCAGUCCUUCAUCCACAGACUGAAAGCUGCACUGUCGGCUACCCUGCUUUUGACGUUUUGGGAGGCAGACUGGUUUCCUUGCUCGUCAGCUUGCAAAUGGCCUAUUGUGGGACUUCCUCUUGUGAUCGUUCAAUUCACAGGACCUCCACAGUGUGCCUUUUGCUGGGUAGGAAAAUGCCAGCCAGCUUGGAAAACAAGAAGACACAUUUAUGUCUACCAUGAGCAUUGGCAUCAGCCAAUUAUCCCACACGUUUUCGGCUAGUCAGUGCUGAAGAGAGCAAGAAUUUCAACCCUUCUUGCUACAUUCAAGACAUAGAAAUCCAGCCAGAAGACAACUCGAGAUAUUUUGUGGAUCUAUGCCUUUCCUUCAGAAAAGCAAAUAUCUACCAUAAAAAAACACUGGUCCAAUAUUCACUUCUAUAAGAAAUGCAGGGGCAAAUAAAUUAUGGAUUUUAUUAUCGCUAAUAGAGUCACUUAACCAUUACUCCUUACUACAUUCUGCUUUUCUAACAAAAUUUCGACUGAAUAUUCUCCCUCAGAGCCUCCAAAAGGAACCAACUGAUGACAACUGAUUUUGGACUUCUGGCCUCCUGAACUAUAACAAAAUAAACAUCUGUUGU
RNAcentral lists this long non-coding RNA (841 nucleotides) under Homo sapiens (human). RNAcentral's name for it is "HSALNT0392475". Lineage: Eukaryota; Metazoa; Chordata; Mammalia; Primates; Hominidae. The record is from RNAcentral.